UACGUAGGGGGCAAGCGUUGUCCGGAAUCAUUGGGCGUAAAGAGCGUGUAGGCGGCCCGGUAAGUCCGCUGUAAAAGUCAAAGGCUCAACCUUUGAAUGUCAGUGGAUACUGCCGGGCUAGAGUCCGGAAGAGGCGAGUGGAACUCCUGGUGUAGCGGUGAAAUGCGCAGAUAUCAGGAGGAACACCAAUGGCGAAGGCAGCUCGCUGGGACGUGACUGACGCUGAGACGCGAAAGCGUGGGGAGCAAACAGG
This 253-nucleotide ribosomal RNA is filed under the name uncultured bacterium. RNAcentral's name for it is "partial 16S ribosomal RNA". It matches the Rfam family "Bacterial small subunit ribosomal RNA", at positions 524 to 776 of the family's 1533-position model. The record is from RNAcentral.